RNAcentral lists this ribosomal RNA (493 nucleotides) under uncultured bacterium. RNAcentral's name for it is "partial 16S ribosomal RNA". It matches the Rfam family "Bacterial small subunit ribosomal RNA", at positions 29 to 507 of the family's 1533-position model. The record is from RNAcentral.
AACGAACGCUGGCGGCGCGUCUUAAACAUGCAAGUCGAACGGCAGGAAGGGGCUUGCCCCUUCUGAGAGUGGCGGACUGGUGAGUAACACGUGGGUGACAUACCUUUUAGUUGGGGAUAGCUAUUAGAAAUAGUAGGUAAUACCGAAUGUGACCGUACCUGUUAGAGGGGUACGAGGAAAGGAACUAAGGCUUCGCUAAAAGAAUGGCUCGCGGCCCAUUAUGCUCGUUGGUGAGGUAACGGCCCACCAAGGCGAUGAUGGGUAUCCGGCCUGAGAGGGUGAACGGACACAUUGGGACUGAGAUACGGCCCAGACUUCUACGGGAGGCAGCAGUUAAGAAUAUUCCGCAAUGGACGAAAGUCUGACGGAGCGACGCCGCGUGGAUGAAGAAUGCCGAAAGGUUGUAAAAUCCUUUUAAGCCUGAUGAAUAAGCACAGUAGGGAAUGAUUGUGCGGUGACCGUAGGGCUUGAAUAAGCACCGGCUAAUUACGUG